CCGAGUUUACAACUCCCAAACCCCUGUGAACAUACCUAUCGUUGCUUCGGCGGAUCCGCCCCGGCGCCCUCGGGCCCGGAUCAGGCGCCCACCGGAGACCCAAAACUCUUGUAUUUCUUUAGUAUCUUCUGAGUAAACAAGCAAAUAAAUUA
RNAcentral lists this unclassified non-coding RNA (152 nucleotides) under soil metagenome. RNAcentral describes it as "partial internal transcribed spacer 1". The record is from RNAcentral.